CAAAAACAUAAACAUAAACUCAUUCAGUCAGCCAUCAGCACCUGGAUUAAUUCUGGAUUAAAGCUAUCACACGGUGUUUAAAAUGGACACGAUAUCCUCAGUGUUCAGGACGAGAAGGCCGUCUGUCUCAGAUCAGACAGACUCGUCUCGUGGACCCUGAUUGGUCCAAACCAAUGAAGAGAGAAGAUGGAGGGGGGUGUGCCUGUGAUGUGGAAUAGAUGAAGCUUCAUGAUUGGCUGAGACUGGAAAUGAAUGAAGAAGGAUCACGGACUGGCACGGCCAUGACACGAGCAUCGUGACAGCGACAGUGCUGGAGGAAGUGAGUGUUUUAUAACCCUGUAAUCAGGAGCUGCUGUCAGGAGAAGAAUCCCACUGUGACUCAUCGUUCUUUGCUCCGUCCGGUUCCUCCACCAGCACACAGAACCUGUGAGUGAGGAGGCGAGGUUCUAAUCGAGGGUCACAGGGGCACCUGGAUCCUAUUCCAGGGAGCAUUGGGCACCAGGCAGGGUACACCCUGGACAGGGUGCCAGUCCAUCGCAGGGCACACUCACACACCCAUUCAUACACUACGGACACUUUAGACACGCCAAUCAGCCUACCAUGCAUGUCUUUGGACUCCAGUGGAAACCAGAGUACCCGGAGGAAACCCCCGCAGCACGGGGAGAGCAUGCAAACUCCGCACACGGCCCCAGCGGGACUCGAACCCUGGACUCUGGAGCUUGAUCCUCAUCUAAAGAUCGACUUUACUCAAAAUGGCAGCCAAGUGGAUUCAACCAAGGGGAAGUGGAGAGUCCUACUGGAAGCAGAUUCCGCAGUCUGGCUCGCUAAAGAUUGGUCAGAAAAGAAGUCACACAAUUUCAUCAGAAGGAGAAGUGGAAGUGUUGAAGUAAUAAGCAUGGUUACACGUACAGCUCGGUUUUCUGCACAUGAGGACAGGAAACUGCGUAAACACUGGUGUGAUCCGGCCGGUCGUGCUGCUGAAGUUUAC
Long non-coding RNA from Ictalurus punctatus (channel catfish), 988 nucleotides. NCBI's taxonomy places the organism in Eukaryota, Metazoa, Chordata, Actinopteri, Siluriformes, Ictaluridae. The record is from Ensembl.